UGCUACAGUAGAACGCUACAGUUAUCAUGCUACCUAGUACUGAAAGAAAAUCCAAUUCUCACAAAAGGAAAGAGAGAAAGGAGAGACAGGAGAGGCAAAAGAAAGGGUGUCAAUAUGUGAGCCAGUUUUUCUCCAAGAAAGACUCAACAACAGAUGAGUCAGAAGCAGCAGCCCUGUCUCCCCGUAACUUUACCCCUCCCAGUCCCAAUGAAGAAGAGCCUUUGUGCUCCACUGUCUCUCAGAUUAACUCAUAUU
Epinephelus lanceolatus (giant grouper) is the source of this 255-nucleotide long non-coding RNA. RefSeq lists it as uncharacterized. The record is from RefSeq and is a predicted model, not a curated record. Lineage: Eukaryota; Metazoa; Chordata; Actinopteri; Perciformes; Serranidae.